This 253-nucleotide ribosomal RNA is filed under the name uncultured bacterium. Its description in RNAcentral is "partial 16S ribosomal RNA". It matches the Rfam family "Bacterial small subunit ribosomal RNA", at positions 524 to 776 of the family's 1533-position model. The record is from RNAcentral.
UACAGAGGGUGCGAGCGUUGUCCGGAAUCACUGGGCGUAAAGGGCGCGUAGGUGGCGGCCCGAGUCCAUGGUGAAAGCUCGAUGCUCAACAUCGAGUCGGCCACGGAUACUGGGUUGCUCGAGCACUGUAGGGGCAGAUGGAAUUCCGGGUGUAGCGGUGGAAUGCGUAGAGAUCCGGAAGAACACCGGUGGCGAAGGCGGUCUGCUGGGCAGUUGCUGACACUGAGGCGCGACAGCGUGGGGAGCAAACAGG